GACGAACGCUGGCGGCGUGCUUAACACAUGCAAGUCGAACGGAAAGGCCCUGCUUUUGUGGGGUGCUCGAGUGGCGAACGGGUGAGUAACACGUUAGUAACCUGCCCUUGACUUUGGUAUAACUUCAGGAAACUGGGGCUAAUACCGGAUAGGAUCUCCUGCUGCAUGGUGGGGGUUGGAAAGUUUCGGCGGUUGGGGAUGGACUCGCGGCUUAUGAGCUUGUUGGUGGGGUAGUGGCUGACCAAGGCUUUGACGGGUAGCCGGACUGAGAGGGUGACCGGCAACAGUGGGAGUGAGGUACGGCCCAGAGGCCUACGGGAGGCAAGAGUGGAGAAAAGUGCACAAUGGGCGGAAGGCGGAUGCAGGAACGCCGGGUGGGAGAGGACGGCCUUCGGGUUGGAAAAGGCUUUGGCCUGUGACGAAGCGUGAGUGACGGUAAUGGGGAAAGAAGCACGGGCUAACUACGU
This 467-nucleotide ribosomal RNA is filed under the name uncultured bacterium. Its description in RNAcentral is "partial 16S ribosomal RNA". It matches the Rfam family "Bacterial small subunit ribosomal RNA", at positions 28 to 506 of the family's 1533-position model. The record is from RNAcentral.